Molecule: small nuclear RNA, 18 nt
Filed under: Arabidopsis thaliana (thale cress)
Lineage: Eukaryota; Viridiplantae; Streptophyta; Magnoliopsida; Brassicales; Brassicaceae
Description: snRNA_02329
Source: RNAcentral
GCCUAUAUGUCCUUUUGG